RNAcentral lists this ribosomal RNA (494 nucleotides) under uncultured bacterium. RNAcentral's name for it is "partial 16S ribosomal RNA". It matches the Rfam family "Bacterial small subunit ribosomal RNA", at positions 31 to 507 of the family's 1533-position model. The record is from RNAcentral.
GAACGCUGGCGGCGUGCCUAAUACCUGCCAGUCGAGCGACCAGACGAGGAGCUUGCUCCUCUGACGUUAGCGGCGGACGGGUGAGUAACACGUGGAUAACCUACCUAUAAGACUGGGAUAACUUCGGGAAACCGGAGCUAAUACCGGAUAAUAUAUUGAACCGCAUGGUUCAAUAGUGAAAGACGGUUUUGCUGUCACUUAUAGAUGGAUCCGCGCCGCAUUAGCUAGUUGGUAAGGUAACGGCUUACCAAGGCAACGAUGCGUAGCCGACCUGAGAGGGUGAUCGGCCACACUGGAACUGAGACACGGUCCAGACUCCUACGGGAGGCAGCAGUAGGGAAUCUUCCGCAAUGGGCGAAAGCCUGACGGAGCAACGCCGCGUGAGUGAUGAAGGUCUUCGGAUCGUAAAACUCUGUUAUUAGGGAAGAACAAAUGUGUAAGUAACUAUGCACGUCUUGACGGUACCUAAUCAGAAAGCCACGGCUAACUACGUG